CCGUCACGGUCAUAACAGGUGUAACGUUAGGCUAGUGUACAGUCAGUGAGUGCAGUUUCUCUGAGAAAUACUUGUUAAAAUUAAUUAAUAGAUUAUACUACUGCUUUAUUAAUUCAUGAUGCAAUAGUGCUGUUUUUAAUGUCAGAUUUCGUCACUUGGCGGAGUUGCACUUAAUUUUGCUUAAUAAAAUGAUGCUUUAAACAUAAUCAAUGCGUCUCAUGCCAAAUAACUAUAGCAUGUAAUUUAUUGUUUAAGUUUUCACUGUUUAUCAUUGGGUCAGUGUAGCUCAAGUGAUCCAAUAGUGACGUAAACAAUACUGUUUCCAGGUUCAAGGCUCUAUUGUUUAAAGUGUUAAACAGCAGUUUAUGAGCAUUAGUUAUUUAUAGCACACCUUUUAAACAAAGCUUUUAAACAGUUUCACUGUACUCUUCAGUCUCCAGGGUCUCGGACAGUAAUAUUUUAACAUAUUGAAUUCUUAUCCGUCUUUCACAGGAACCACUGAUUACACAAACAUUAGAACACCUCAGGUCAACAGUAAAUACUGUUAUAAAUGGGCAUCAGCUGGACCUUGACUAUUUUCACCACAUCCUAAAUCAGGAAGUCUUUAUUUUGAUAUCUGCCUCCACAAUUUUUAAGGUGCCUCAUGACAUUUUGGAGACCCUUAUGACUCUACAAAGAAAAGUUCAUGCAGCGCUUGAACAAGAGGCCUCCCCAAUUCUAAUAACAGAAUCUGGUGGUGGACGAGGCCGGCCUAAGUACAUUGUUUCUGAGGAACUGCUGUCCCGACUCAUUGACAUGUCUUUACCCAUUUCUUGCAUUGCAAAUAAUUUAGAAGUCAGCCAGUCAACCAUCUUCCUCCGAAUGCGUGAAUUAGGUCUUUCUACAAAAAAUACUUAUAGUACCCUUACUGACCAGGAAGUUGAUGCUCCUGGCAUUUUAGAAAGGAUGACACAGCUGGGGUGCAUUGUCAGGAGGACAUAUUUCGUACAACAACCUUUGUCCUUGGUCCAUAUUGACACCAAUCACAAACUCAUAAGGUACAACAUUGUCAUAUUCGGGGGGAUAGAUGGGUACUCGUGAAAGAUCAUGUACCUGGAACCAGCAUCUAACAAUUGCUCGAGCAAUGCCCUUACAUUCGUUCUUAAGUCUGUGCAGAACCAUGGCUGGCCUUCAAGAUGUUGUAUUUAUUUAGGGUUAGGGGUGAUGAAGGUGUGGAAAAUGUAAGAGUUCCAGAAACCAUGUUCAGAGUGAAAGGCACAGGAAGAGGGAGCUUUAUCACUGGCAAAAGCAUACAUAAUCAAAGAAUUGAACGUCUGUGGCGAGAUGUCUGGCUUGGUGUAACACAGCUGUAUUAUGAUGUUCUCCACAGCCUUGAGGAAGAUGGUUUGUUGGACUUAUCUGAUUCUCUUCAUGUGUUCUGUACACACUAUGUAUUCAUCCCACGCCUGCAGCGCGACCUCCAUACUUUUUCUGAAGGCUGGGAUAAUCACCCAUUACGGUCUGAAGGUGGACUCACCCCUAACCAGCUGUGGGUUUUGGGACACAUGCAGAAUUCAACCCAGGAUGAGGAGGAAUUGCAGCUUAAAUUUUUAUUAAAUUCUAUAUACUUUUGCUGUGUUGUCAAAUUAUUUGUUACUGUUGCUUAAAGUAUAAUGCAACAGUUUUCUAUAAUACAUUUAAGAAUCUGGAGCUGUUUGGAACAGACUGGGAGACAUUUGACAGCGUAGAUGAAGCUGGAGGAGUUCACGUACCAGAAAUUCAGUGCCCACUGACUGCUGCUGCGAUGGAAAUUGUAAAAUCAACAAUUGAUCCUCUUGCACCAUCUGACUCUUAUGGAAGAGAUAUUUAUACAUCUUUGCUUCAAUAUGUUAAAAGAAUGUUGACAACAACACAAUGACUGUCUAAAAGUUUAUCUGCAGUGGACAAUUAAAAAAGUUUGUACAUAUUCAGACAUACGAAAUAAGUAAUCAUUGUAAAUGUUGUGUAGAAGAGAUUUAUAAAAAUUUUUCGUGAAGAUUUUAACACUUAAUGAUUUAUUGUAUAGAAUUUCAUGACGUACAUAUUCAGACAUAUGAAAUAAGUAAUAAUUGUAAAUGUUGUGUAAAAGAUAUUUAUAAUAAUUUACAUAAAGAUGUUAACACUUAAUAAAAGGAAUUACGUUAAAUAGAUUAUCCACCCAAAACUAUUUUUUGUAUUGCAUAGAACAGAAAAUAUUAAUGAACAAUGCAUUCUACAGAGCCUAUAAUGGGACAUGGUAAUGGAAAAAUUGAGAGGGGAUAAAUUUCUUUCUUCUUCUAUUAUGUUGCUUUAGGUGCUCCGUAAAAUGUUAUUCAUUACCUGUGCCUUUCCGAACAAGGUAUUUGUCUUUGGUUAACAUUAGGAAUGUGUCCUAUUAUUUUAAAAAGAAAUUAUCCUAAGGAAGACAAUUUUACUCUACUGCUAACAAAAGGCACUUAAAAAGCUGACCUAUGCUUUCUACUUAGACAUUAUCAAAUGAUUCAGCAUGCCUUACAGCCAUUUUCAUAACAAAUUUAAAGUCAUGAAAUGUUUAAAUUUGCAUGCGCUGACAGAUGAAAAACAAAUAGUGUGAGUUGUGUCACAAUUGUGGGAUUACAAAUUUGUACUAUGUUAUAUCUAAGUUCCAAUGUAAUAGUAUAUGAACUGAAAACUUUAUGUACAUUGUGUUUUACAUUUUGAGGUAAAGAUAAUGACAUUCUAAAGGAGAUCAAGGCAGUCAGCCCAGGUGUCUGAGACACUAACCUUUUGUCUUUAUGCACCUCCUGACCAUUUGACAUGACAAGCUCAAGUUACAGCUGUGCUUUUGUCUCUAUGAUAAUGUAAAGGUAUGGGCAAUACUGUCAGACUGUUUGGAUUAGCACCUAUGCAUUUGAAUGACACAGUUAUGCUGAUUAGAUCAUGGCUGGGAAAUGUAGGGAAUGGGCUGAUUUCCUGCGCUGCAUUUGCAUGCAUUGUUUAGUUUUUCUCCACCUCUACUCUAUGUAUCCCUCCCCCUUGAAUGUAUAUAAACUUCAAUGUACACUGCCUUAGUUAGAUUUUGGAUGACCACAGUGACGCACAACGUGUUUCUCAAUAAAGAGUAACUUCUGCUUCAAGAGAUCCCAAAGUCUCCUGGUCUAUGCUUCUGAGAUUGCCAACAACUCCUUCAUUCAUUUGAUUUGUUCAAACGGCUGAUUCAUUCAGGAAUGAAGUAAAUGGCUCUCUUUAUGAGUGCACCACUAAAUCAUUGAUUCACCCGAUUUCAUUCAGAAACAAAACACUGUUUAAUAACAACAUCAUACUUAAUUAAAAGCAAAACAUUUAUAAUAGUUUUAGAUAAAUGACCAUAUUAAUAAAAAAAACAUGCUCUAGAAAGUGACAAUGAUGUCCAUACCGUGAAUGAAAGCUUUACAAAAAUUGCAUAUAGUUUAAGUAGAAAUCUAAAAUCUCAGA
Long non-coding RNA from Megalobrama amblycephala (Wuchang bream), 3450 nucleotides. RefSeq lists it as uncharacterized. The record is from RefSeq and is a predicted model, not a curated record. The transcript is spliced from 5 exons. NCBI's taxonomy places the organism in Eukaryota, Metazoa, Chordata, Actinopteri, Cypriniformes, Xenocyprididae.